This 310-nucleotide long non-coding RNA is filed under the name Physcomitrium patens. RNAcentral describes it as "long non-coding RNA (PPAT_LNC009307)". The record is from RNAcentral. Lineage: Eukaryota; Viridiplantae; Streptophyta; Bryopsida; Funariales; Funariaceae.
AAACACUCAAUUGAUACCUAUCUAAAAACUACUUAACAUAUCUCUACAAAGUCAUUAGUUCCUCUGGUCCACCCAAUUGAUCAUUUGCUGCAUUAUCGAAUGUAAGUUCGACCAAAUCUGGUUCUAAUUGCAAAUCUUCUUCUUCUUCCUCUAGUCCAUCGACUCCUUCCUCAACUGGUUUGAGAGAUCUUCAUUAUACUCACCCAGUACACGGACUUGAGCUUCCAGUUUCAAGAUCUGGACAUCUCGAAGUUCUAAUUGUUGCUACUCACUCAUCUAUUCUAGAAUAUCUUCAAUCGACACUUGUGAU